CUGAGAGGAUGACAGCGCGUUGUUGUCUUCAGUUCUUGCUCAUCAGAGGGCUGUGCAAAAUACCCUUACGUGUCAUAGGGGCUUCUCAUACAUAUGUCCCGUCUCGCACACAACCUUCCUCCGUCAAAAAACGUCACUGUGUGGUGAGAAAAAAUGGGGAUUCGCUCAGCCUACAGUUGCGUGCGCGACUUCCAUUUACCCGCCUCUGGAUGAAGACGAUUGGACCGAAGCGCGUGAUCUCAGUUCCUGCAAAAGAUCUUCUGUGAUGAUGCAUGAGGAUUGGCUGCUAUAAUUGUCCAAAUGAAACAUUAGUUCUCACAGAAAACACUCCACAUUCACCUCUCACAGAUAAGGUCAGUGACUGCUUUUGUGUUGUUCGUUCCCCGUCAUCAUCGCUAAUGUGCCACUUACUUCACACAACAGUAUGAACUAUAUGAAAACAGACAAAAAUGGCAAUCAGAAAAGCACAGCUUAUAACUACAGAAAUAUGAAUGUUUUAUUACUGUGUUUGUAACAGUUUUGAAUGUGUUUUCCAGAUGGAAAACCUAAAGUCCAGGUGCAUAGAAGUAGAGCACAGUGUGUUUCUGUGUGUGUGUAUGUGCCUGUGUGAGACCAUUUGUGAGAGCGUGUGCGCAUGCAAGUGAGUGUUUACGGCUAUUCUUCUCUAUGUAGACGUAGAAAAGUUUUGUCUCAUGCAAAGACAUUUCCUUUCACCCAUGCAGCUCCUCUUGGGGAUCUCGUCAUCUGAAAAUGCUGCAUUGCACUGUGAAGUACGUCACAGAAACACAAGCACGUCUACUCAUACUGUACACACAGGCUUGCAUGCAGAUGGACCAUGCAGAAAAGGAGACGCAGUAAAUAUAUGAUAUCCGAGGGCCAGCCUUCAUGCUGGUGUUUAUCUGCUGGCUGAGAUAGGGUCUUGAGCUGCAGAGAUACACCCACUCUGCAGAUUAGCUCCCCAGAACUGGCUGUCUGCCUGCCUGCAAGCCUCAGCUACUGAUAAUGGGGAACUGCAGUGUUGGUGUGCCUCUCAUACACAGACGUGCCAGCUUAGCAGCUUAUCAAGUCCUUUUUCAUGUGCUAUGUAAUGAUUAAACCACUACGCUUUAUGGAAGGUUUACUUCCUGUCUUGACACAGCACAAGGUAUGUCCAAUCCUCUAUUAAAGUAUUCCAUUCGAAACAGAUACUGUAUAUUUUGGAUUAUUAUACAGCUUUGAAUAAAAAAGAAUUGCUGUGUCAUUUUGAAACUUAGCAAUAUAUGUUCUAAAGCGCUUUUAAGUUUCUUUUAUUCAUUUUUCUUAAUUCUGCUUGUUUUCUCUCGUCUUCACUGAGGCUUUAGGUUGGUUAUCUGUUUGAUCUGUGGGCAACUAAACUCUGGGACAUUUUAUGGAAAGCCUGUGAAAAGAAUAUUUGAUCUGAUUUGUGCAUGAAGAUAUAAGAUUAAUAAAGAUACAAAAUAUUUGAGAUAGACUGCUGAUAGCUACUGUUAUGAUUCACUUAUUUAUAGACAAGGUGCACUAAUGUAUAAAAAAUAUAGAACUUCUUUAUUGGAAAUAGAUGAAAGUGCAACAAAUAGGAACUCACUUGUAUCUUAGCCAGGUGGCUACAGUGAAAAACAGUAUGAUACAGUACAAAAACAACUACAACAUUGUGUUAAACAACAGUUACAUAAAUUAUAGUACAAAACUGUACACAGUCUUACAGUAUUUACACAUGGUGUAUUCGUCAAAUGCCGAAUUUCUAUUUUUCCUACCUUUUCUCUUUAAAUAAA
This is a long non-coding RNA of Hypomesus transpacificus, 1772 nucleotides long. RefSeq lists it as uncharacterized. The transcript has 2 exons. Lineage: Eukaryota; Metazoa; Chordata; Actinopteri; Osmeriformes; Osmeridae. The record is from RefSeq and is a predicted model, not a curated record.